Molecule: ribosomal RNA, 449 nt
Filed under: uncultured bacterium
Lineage: Bacteria
Description: partial 16S ribosomal RNA
Rfam family: Bacterial small subunit ribosomal RNA
Source: RNAcentral
AACGAACGCUGGCGGCAUGCCUAACACAUGCAAGUCGAACGAGACCUUCGGGUCUAGUGGCGCACGGGUGCGUAACGCGUGGGAAUCUGCCCUUGGGUUCGGAAUAACAGUGAGAAAUUACUGCUAAUACCGGAUGAUGUCUUCGGACCAAAGGUUUAUUGCCCAGGGAUGAGCCCGCGUAGGAUUAGCUAGUUGGUGGGGUAAUGGCCUACCAAGGCGACGAUCCUUAGCUGGUCUGAGAGGAUGAUCAGCCACACUGGGACUGAGACACGGCCCAGACUCCUACGGGAGGCAGCAGUGGGGAAUAUUGGACAAUGGGCGGAAGCCUGAUCCAGCAAUGCCGCGUGAGUGAUGAAGGCCUUAGGGUUGUAAAGCUCUUUUACCAGGGAUGAUAAUGACAGUACCUGGAGAAUAAGCUCCGGCUAACUCCGUGCCAGCCGCCGCGGUAA